UUAGGAUCGGUGAAAUUCGAUCAACGUGGAGGAAUAUUGUGUCUUUCGGCCUUCUAAGCCGUAGGUCACACGUUCGAAUCGUGUAGGGCGGGCCA
RNAcentral lists this transfer RNA (95 nucleotides) under Burkholderia thailandensis E444. RNAcentral describes it as "tRNA-Arg (TCT) (tRNA-Arg-TCT-2-1)". RNAcentral also lists the same sequence under 1 other name. The record is from RNAcentral. Lineage: Bacteria; Pseudomonadati; Pseudomonadota; Betaproteobacteria; Burkholderiales; Burkholderiaceae.